RNAcentral lists this ribosomal RNA (465 nucleotides) under Vreelandella stevensii. RNAcentral describes it as "partial 16S ribosomal RNA". It matches the Rfam family "Bacterial small subunit ribosomal RNA", at positions 338 to 795 of the family's 1533-position model. Lineage: Bacteria; Pseudomonadati; Pseudomonadota; Gammaproteobacteria; Oceanospirillales; Halomonadaceae. The record is from RNAcentral.
CCUACGGGGGGCUGCAGUGGGGAAUAUUGGACAAUGGGGGCAACCCUGAUCCAGCCAUGCCGCGUGUGUGAAGAAGGCCCUCGGGUUGUAAAGCACUUUCAGUGAGGAAGAACGCCUGGUGGUUAAUACCCAUCAGGAAAGACAUCACUCACAGAAGAAGCACCGGCUAACUCCGUGCCAGCAGCCGCGGUAAUACGGAGGGUGCGAGCGUUAAUCGGAAUUACUGGGCGUAAAGCGCGCGUAGGUGGCUUGAUAAGCCGGUUGUGAAAGCCCCGGGCUCAACCUGGGAACGGCAUCCGGAACUGUCAAGCUAGAGUGCAGGAGAGGAAGGUAGAAUUCCCGGGGUAGAGGUGAAAUGCGUAGAGAUCGGGAGGAAUACCAGUGGCGAAGGCGGCCUUCUGGACUGACACUGACACUGAGGUGCGAAAGCGUGGGUAGCAAACAGGAUUAGAUACCCUUGUAGUC